CCGGAACACAAAGGGGCAGUGCUCUCAGGCCACUUGCGCCGCCACUGAGGGAACCCGGUCCUUCUAGACAGUCAGCCACUGCCUUAGCGGCUGUGCACAGGACAUUUCCUGUACACCUUACAGAAAGGAUGUUUACAAAUGAAGAUGCCCAAGCUCUAGUACAAAGAGUCAGAUCACCUGUGGACAACGGCAGGGAUGUCGUCUUCCUGGCUGCAGAGCCAUCAGCGGUGUUUAGCCACACGCUGGGGCCGAGCCCAGGUCUGGGUCUGGGACCCCUGCCUUCCCCACCAGAACGGGAGUGAAGGCGCCCAGGAUCAUCCUGGGGGAAGCGAGCGUCCACCAGACCCGUCCCGCUGGCGCGUGCGACCCGUCCGACCUGCCCGAGUUGAGCGCUGUGUCUCGUGCGGCAGGCGUUGUUUCCAGCUGCUCACAGUGUGCUCCCUUGAGAUGAUGCCGCCCUUGUGAGGCCUCAGGAGCGGGAUGGGAGGAGGCGUUCUCCAGUGACCCCGGGGAGCCUGAGUGACCACACCAGGUAGGUGCCUGCUGGGACUGUCGUUCUCCCAGAGGACU
RNAcentral lists this long non-coding RNA (570 nucleotides) under Fukomys damarensis (Damara mole-rat). RNAcentral describes it as "lncRNA (ENSFDAG00000030724.1)". The record is from RNAcentral. Lineage: Eukaryota; Metazoa; Chordata; Mammalia; Rodentia; Bathyergidae.